This 553-nucleotide long non-coding RNA is filed under the name Daphnia pulicaria. RNAcentral describes it as "uncharacterized LOC124316618, transcript variant X1". The record is from RNAcentral. Lineage: Eukaryota; Metazoa; Arthropoda; Branchiopoda; Diplostraca; Daphniidae.
CGGCAUUUUUUUCGAGCACUGAUUGAAAGCGUUAGAUAAUCCGUACGACGUUUUCCUUCCUCACGUUUUUCUUCCAAAAAUGUUAUUUGUGUGGUAACCUAGCCUAUAAUUUCUACUUGGAAAUUUCAGCUGAUCAUGUGGCCUACAUUUUGCCAAGAUGUCGUCUCUUUUUCCUGUACGUACCGGCUGUACAUUUUGUAAGAAACACUUCAGAACAAAUCAGUCUGGUAAAGUUUGAGCUUUGUUGUUGCUGCCCAAUGUACAUAUGGAUUUGAUGCAGCCAGCUGGUAAAGGGUGUUCCUCUUGCUACCUGUAGGCUACUCUGCUACUGCUGUUUGUUUUGUCAAAUGGAGAAACAUAAGAAACUGAAGUUUAGUGUUUCAUGUUCGCGUAGUUGCUGUCCGAUGUGGCACGUUGUUGAAGCCUAUGCUGGUGAAAGAUCUUUCUACAUCAAGUUCAAUUGGCCGUUCCUUGUUGCUGAUGUUGUGUUACCGAAGUUGCAUUAUAUUUUGUUAAAUUGUCAUCGUGACUAUUGCAGUUUACCGUUGUAUGU